GCUGUUGAGACUCCAGGGGUGUUCGGGGCUGGGAGCCUGCUGAGUGUUCACUGUUCCCACCUCCAAUCUGCUCCAUCCUCCAGCUGCAUUUCAUUCCGGAUCUACCAGGAUCCAACUUUACUACUGUCAUGGAGGGAAUUACAGUAAUUCUACCAACUUUUGAGGCAACCUUCUUCUGACACUGUGUGAAACAGACUGAAAAGACUCUAAAGAUGGAGAGAGCUCAAUGCUUGAGAAAAGGAAUUCUGUCCUUUGAAAGGUCUCUAGAACAAAGGAGUCUCAUUCUGUCACCUAGGCUGGAGUACAGUGGUGCAAUCACAGCUCACUGCAGCCUCGAUCUCCUGGACUCAACCAAUCCUCCUGCCUCAGCCUUCUGGGUAGUUGAGACUACAGAUACAGAAGAUGAGAGACAGAAAAAGAGAGAAAUUACAGAGUGACGGAGAAGGCAGACAUCAUGCAACAUGCUCAAGGGCUAUUCAUUUUAAGCUGAAACAUACAUGUGUAGAAAGCAUCCUUGUACUUAUAAUCCCAAUGACUAUGAAGAAAAAUAAUUUAGCCAAAUAGUUCCUAGAACAGGAAAAAUAAGGAAUUAUAUUUUGAGAUAAGAAGUUAAGCUCUAGUAUAACAAUGAUAUUGGGUCAAAGAAAAAUGAAAACAAAUUUUAAAAACGUUGCAACAUGAAUAAAAGCUUCACCAAAUCGGGAGUCUAUUAUAA
This 715-nucleotide long non-coding RNA is filed under the name Pan troglodytes (chimpanzee). Its description in RNAcentral is "lincRNA". Lineage: Eukaryota; Metazoa; Chordata; Mammalia; Primates; Hominidae. The record is from RNAcentral.